AUUAGGGAGAGAUUUUGAUUCAGAUGAAAACAAUUAUUGAACCAAAUGUGCGCUACUCUGUACAAUAAAUCGAUACCAUGAACCUUCAUUCAAGUUCCACACGAACACCAUACUUUUCAACACACGUGCUUCUGUGCUUUAAUACUCAUAACUGCCAGCAAUAAGUAGGGUGAUAUUUUAAUUUUUAUCUCUGAAUUUAUCUUUUCGGUCCUCAUCUCUCAAUUAAUUGUAUUUAGUUUCAAAAUUAUUCUUUUUUUUGUUUUAGUAGCUCUUAUUCAUGUUCCUUAGGGUUGAUUGUUAAGCAUAUAAAGUCUAACUUUUUUAAAAAAAUUAGUUAUUUAUUUUUUAUAACUUAUAUAUGAUUUUUAAAUAUUUAUAUUUAAAUUAAAAAAAUAAUUUUUUUUUUUACCUUUACCUAAAUGAGAAAAUGUUUGAAUGGAAAAUAAAUAGUAUAUUCGAAGAAUAUUUCUAUUCAAUAUUGUUAUUUCCUAAACUAUAAACGGGUCACAUGUGGCUAAUUGUCAAAGCAAUAGCAAGCUGUUAGCUUAAAGCAAAGCACAUUCAUGCUUCACCCAUGAGAAUACAACCAAUUCUAAUGCAUGUAUUGUGAUGCACGUGCAAGCUAAAAGGAGGCACAUGUGGUUAAUUGUCAAAGCAAUAGCAAGCUGUUAGCUUAAAGCAAAGCACGUGCGUGCUUCAUCAAUAGAAUAUGUGAGUGGAUUAUUAUUAUUACUAUUAUGUAUUUAACAAAAUAUUUAUGUUUGAUAGUAUGAUUUAGUAUAAUGUUAUGAUUAAAUGUAUGUACAUUAUAUGAUUGAUUGAGUCAUGAGAUGUAAUUGACAGGCACCAUAUGUGUACAUUUCUCCAUAGGCUCUACGCAUGCGUAUUGAGAGUUAAAUUACUCGACCCUUGUGAAGUUGUUAAUUCUACUGAGUAUUGAGAGGUUUUUCCCUCUUUUUACUCGUGCAAUGAUGAUCCCAGUGAGUAUUGAGAGUUAUUUUCCUUGUAUAUUAUUUGGUGCAAUUUUGUCAUGUGUGUAUAUACGAGUUCAUGUUUGCUUUUGUAAAGCGUUCAGUGUAAAGUUAUGUCAUACAAUUAUGACGAGCACUAAAACACUAAUUUAUUUUUAUAUAUAAUUAUAUUCAUUCAUUGAGCUGCAAGCUUACUAUUUUCCUAUUUACCCCAUUUCUCUAAGGUUUUCAUAGGAUUUCGUGUAGUUCAAUUUCUGAUCAAUUGAGGUUGGGCCACGACACACAUUACUGUACGACUUACAUUUUGACCACGUUUAUGUUUAUAUGUAUAUUUUUGAAGUGUAUGUAUGUACAGUGAGAUAUGAACUAUGUAAGUUUUUAAUAAAUUUUUGAAUGAGGCACAUAGAUUAUUAUAUGUUAAUAACAAAGGGCAAGGCUAGUGUUAUAUAUUCAUGAAUUAAGUUUAUGUCAUGAGCUUUAGAUAUAAAAUAGUAUGAUUCACCCCAAAUCCAACAGAAUGGUUGAGGCAAUUUGUGUCAUGUAUGAUAUGUACAUAUUUAUAU
Molecule: long non-coding RNA, 1534 nt
Filed under: Citrus x clementina
Lineage: Eukaryota; Viridiplantae; Streptophyta; Magnoliopsida; Sapindales; Rutaceae
Description: Citrus clementina (C. clementina) long non-coding RNA (CCLE_LNC005794)
Source: RNAcentral